Molecule: ribosomal RNA, 465 nt
Filed under: Vreelandella stevensii
Lineage: Bacteria; Pseudomonadati; Pseudomonadota; Gammaproteobacteria; Oceanospirillales; Halomonadaceae
Description: partial 16S ribosomal RNA
Rfam family: Bacterial small subunit ribosomal RNA
Source: RNAcentral
CCUACGUGCGGCAGCAGUGGGGAAUAUUGGACAAUGGGCGAAAGCCUGAUCCAGCCAUGCCGCGUGUGUGAAGAAGGCCUUCGGGUUGUAAAGCACUUUCAGUGGGGAAGAAAGCCUUGGGGCUAAUACCCUCGAGGAAGGACAUCACCCACAGAAGAAGCACCGGCUAACUCCGUGCCAGCAGCCGCGGUAAUACGGAGGGUGCGAGCGUUAAUCAGAAUUACUGGGCGUAAAGCGCGCGUAGGCGGUCUGAUAAGCCGGUUGUGAAAGCCCCGGGAUCAACCUGGGAACGGCAUCCGGAACUGUCAGGCUAGAGUGCAGGAGAGGAAGGUAGAAUUCCCGGUGUAGCGGUGAAAUGCGUAGAGAUCGGGAGGAAUACCAGUGGCGAAGGCGGCCUUCUGGACUGACACUGACGCUGAGGUGCGAAAGCGUGGGUAGCAAACAGGAUUAGAUACCCCAGUAGUC